UUCAUCUUCUUCAUGAUUUCUUUCAGACCAUCAUCACUAUUCUACUCCCUCACACCAUCACAAUACCUUUUCGCGUAACCUGCACAUCGCUGGAGUUGGAGGUCUUGCCGGAGAACUCGAAGUCGCCAGAGUUGGAGGUCUCGCCGGAACCGGAAUUUCACGACGGAGUUUCGAUCCUCUUCAUUUUUGGUAUACGAUUAUUAUCCCAUUUGAAAGAAAUUAUGAAGAAGAUGAAUUAGCCUAAAAAGCCGAAUGGAAGUGAAGAUGGUCCUCCUUCUGCAGACUCCUUAAGCGUUAGCCCAGGUGGACAACAUAAGAACACUGUGGUGGGCUUUUCUUCUAGGUUGGAAGAGCGCGUAGAAAAGCAAAAAAAGGUUUUAUACACAUCAUGAAAGAAAUCACGAAGAAGAUGAAUUAAGGAAGAAGAUGAAUUAAGGAAGAAGAUGAAAGGAAAAAAAAUAAUCUAGGGUUUUGUUUAUAAAGUCAUAAAAUGUGGGAGGGGAAAUUACAUUUUUAGACAUUAUGUGCAAUUCAUGUGCCAAUUAAUUAACCAGAGUUAGGGUUUGGUUA
Long non-coding RNA from Helianthus annuus (common sunflower), 570 nucleotides. RefSeq lists it as uncharacterized. Lineage: Eukaryota; Viridiplantae; Streptophyta; Magnoliopsida; Asterales; Asteraceae. The record is from RefSeq and is a predicted model, not a curated record. The transcript has 3 exons.